RNAcentral lists this transfer RNA (75 nucleotides) under Pyrodictium occultum. Its description in RNAcentral is "tRNA-Phe". It matches the Rfam family "tRNA". Rfam says of the family: Transfer RNA (tRNA) molecules are approximately 80 nucleotides in length. Their secondary structure includes four short double-helical elements and three loops (D, anti-codon, and T loops). The record is from RNAcentral. RNAcentral also lists the same sequence under 10 other names. Lineage: Archaea; Thermoproteati; Thermoproteota; Thermoprotei; Desulfurococcales; Pyrodictiaceae.
GCCGCCGUAGCUCAGCGGGAGAGCGCCCGGCUGAAGACCGGGCGGUCCGGGGUUCGAAUCCCCGCGGCGGCACCA